Molecule: ribosomal RNA, 536 nt
Filed under: uncultured bacterium
Lineage: Bacteria
Description: partial 16S ribosomal RNA
Rfam family: Bacterial small subunit ribosomal RNA
Source: RNAcentral
UGGGGAAUUUUGGACAAUGGGCGAAAGCCUGAUCCAGCAAUGCCGCGUGUGUGAAGAAGGCCUUCGGGUUGUAAAGCACUUUUGUCCGGAAAGAAAUCCUUGGCUCUAAUACAGUCGGGGGAUGACGGUACCGGAAGAAUAAGCACCGGCUAACUACGUGCCAGCAGCCGCGGUAAUACGUAGGGUGCAAGCGUUAAUCGGAAUUACUGGGCGUAAAGCGUGCGCAGGCGGUUUGCUAAGACCGAUGUGAAAUCCCCGGGCUCAACCUGGGAACUGCAUUGGUGACUGGGCAGGCUAGAGUAUGGCAGAGGGGGGUAGAAUUCCACGUGUAGCAGUGAAAUGCGUAGAGAUGUGGAGGAAUACCGAUGGCGAAGGCAGCCCCCUGGGCCAAUACUGACGCUCAUGCACGAAAGCGUGGGGAGCAAACAGGAUUAGAUACCCUGGUAGUCCACGCCCUAAACGAUGUCAACUAGUUGUUGGGGAUUCAUUUCCUUAGUAACGUAGCUAACGCGUGAAGUUGACCGCCUGGGGAGUAC